RNAcentral lists this ribosomal RNA (551 nucleotides) under uncultured bacterium. Its description in RNAcentral is "partial 16S ribosomal RNA". It matches the Rfam family "Bacterial small subunit ribosomal RNA", at positions 355 to 899 of the family's 1533-position model. The record is from RNAcentral.
UGGGGAAUAUUGCACAAUGAGCGAAAGCCUGAUCCAGCAAUGCCGCGUGUGUGAAGAAGGCCUUCGGGUUGUAAAGCACUUUUGUCCGGAAAGAAAUCCUUGGCUCUAAUACAGUCGGGGGAUGACGGUACCGGAAGAAUAAGCACCGGCUAACUACGUGCCAGCAGCCGCGGUAAUACGUAGGGUGCAAGCGUUAAUCGGAAUUACUGGGCGUAAAGCGUGCGCAGGCGGUUUGCUAAGACCGAUGUGAAAUCCCCGGGCUCAACCUGGGAACUGCAUUGGUGACUGGCAGGCUAGAGUAUGGCAGAGGGGGGUAGAAUUCCACGUGUAGCAGUGAAAUGCGUAGAGAUGUGGAGGAAUACCGAUGGCGAAGGCAGCCCCCUGGGCCAAUACUGACGCUCAUGCACGAAAGCGUGGGGAGCAAACAGGAUUAGAUACCCUGGUAGUCCACGCCCUAAACGAUGUCAACUAGUUGUUGGGGAUUCAUUUCCUUAGUAACGUAGCUAACGCGUGAAGUUGACCGCCUGGGGAGUACGGUCGCAAGAUUAAAA